RNAcentral lists this long non-coding RNA (904 nucleotides) under Marmota monax (woodchuck). The record is from RNAcentral. Lineage: Eukaryota; Metazoa; Chordata; Mammalia; Rodentia; Sciuridae.
UAACUGCAUUUGUCUUUUGUUCUUUAUCCAGGGAACAUGUCCAACAAGUAUAAGACUGGAUCAGGUGGUUCAUAGAAAUGCUUUGAAGCCACCAGGCCUUUCUGCUGUAAUAGGAGCCCGGGCUGUGUUUUCUACUGUCCUCAACCACAUCCAUGAAGAACAAAUAACAAGUCAGACCCAAUGAAGUCCUUUGGACACUGAGGCUCCCACCCUGCUGUUAACCUAGGUACAACUUCCAGGAAGGGAGUGUACCAAAGAAGCCUGUAUUGGCAGCAUGGGCACAGCCUCUGUAUCAGGGUAAGAACAAUGAACAUACACGAAAGAGAAGAUGGUUGGUAGAAAAUCAGCUUUAAAGAAUUUUGAACAUAAAUGUAAAUCAUCAAAACUACCCAAGAAGAAAAAGACUAAAGCAAAUGUAUGAAAUAUGAUAUGUCAAGAGCUUUGCAUUGUUUUGAACAACUAACAAUAAAAAGAAAAAGAAAAAGACUAAAGCAAACUAAAACCCAUACCUAGGCCUGUUCCUGCCAUCUGUAGCAGAUGCUUUGGUGCCCCACUCACAGCCCUCAGCAGGUACCAUUUUCGUGUGUACUUACCCACCCUCCAACAGUCAGCAACUACUACUCUUUGCCUUGAGACUGUCUGUGGACACCAGAGUAGCCCUCAAGCAGUGCACUUGCUUCUCACAUGGGGCUCUAUCUUGUCACCUGGAGUUUCCCAACACCAUUAAGCUGCGCUUGACCAGGAUGCUAACUUGUCUGACAACACAUCCUUAAGUGGCUUCCUUCUAUUAUCUUCUUUGUCUCACUUUUCCACUGUUCCUAUGAUGUUUCCUGGAAUCUCCCAAAUAAACUAUUUGUACUGGAAUCCUUACAUCAGCUCUUAUUUUUUGUGUAACCCAAACCAU